RNAcentral lists this ribosomal RNA (1707 nucleotides) under Escherichia coli. RNAcentral's name for it is "partial 23S ribosomal RNA". It matches the Rfam family "Bacterial large subunit ribosomal RNA", at positions 1 to 1751 of the family's 2925-position model. The record is from RNAcentral. Lineage: Bacteria; Pseudomonadati; Pseudomonadota; Gammaproteobacteria; Enterobacterales; Enterobacteriaceae.
GGUUAAGCGACUAAGCGUACACGGUGGAUGCCCUGGCAGUCAGAGGCGAUGAAGGACGUGCUAAUCUGCGAUAAGCGUCGGUAAGGUGAUAUGAACCGUUAUAACCGGCGAUUUCCGAAUGGGGAAACCCAGUGUGUUUCGACACACUAUCAUUAACUGAAUCCAUAGGUUAAUGAGGCGAACCGGGGGAACUGAAACAUCUAAGUACCCCGAGGAAAAGAAAUCAACCGAGAUUCCCCCAGUAGCGGCGAGCGAACGGGGAGCAGCCCAGAGCCUGAAUCAGUGUGUGUGUUAGUGGAAGCGUCUGGAAAGGCGCGCGAUACAGGGUGACAGCCCCGUACACAAAAAUGCACAUGCUGUGAGCUCGAUGAGUAGGGCGGGACACGUGGUAUCCUGUCUGAAUAUGGGGGGACCAUCCUCCAAGGCUAAAUACUCCUGACUGACCGAUAGUGAACCAGUACCGUGAGGGAAAGGCGAAAAGAACCCCGGCGAGGGGAGUGAAAAAGAACCUGAAACCGUGUACGUACAAGCAGUGGGAGCACGCUUAGGCGUGUGACUGCGUACCUUUUGUAUAAUGGGUCAGCGACUUAUAUUCUGUAGCAAGGUUAACCGAAUAGGGGAGCCGAAGGGAAACCGAGUCUUAACUGGGCGUUAAGUUGCAGGGUAUAGACCCGAAACCCGGUGAUCUAGCCAUGGGCAGGUUGAAGGUUGGGUAACACUAACUGGAGGACCGAACCGACUAAUGUUGAAAAAUUAGCGGAUGACUUGUGGCUGGGGGUGAAAGGCCAAUCAAACCGGGAGAUAGCUGGUUCUCCCCGAAAGCUAUUUAGGUAGCGCCUCGUGAAUUCAUCUCCGGGGGUAGAGCACUGUUUCGGCAAGGGGGUCAUCCCGACUUACCAACCCGAUGCAAACUGCGAAUACCGGAGAAUGUUAUCACGGGAGACACACGGCGGGUGCUAACGUCCGUCGUGAAGAGGGAAACAACCCAGACCGCCAGCUAAGGUCCCAAAGUCAUGGUUAAGUGGGAAACGAUGUGGGAAGGCCCAGACAGCCAGGAUGUUGGCUUAGAAGCAGCCAUCAUUUAAAGAAAGCGUAAUAGCUCACUGGUCGAGUCGGCCUGCGCGGAAGAUGUAACGGGGCUAAACCAUGCACCGAAGCUGCGGCAGCGACACUAUGUGUUGUUGGGUAGGGGAGCGUUCUGUAAGCCUGUGAAGGUGUACUGUGAGGUAUGCUGGAGGUAUCAGAAGUGCGAAUGCUGACAUAAGUAACGAUAAAGCGGGUGAAAAGCCCGCUCGCCGGAAGACCAAGGGUUCCUGUCCAACGUUAAUCGGGGCAGGGUGAGUCGACCCCUAAGGCGAGGCCGAAAGGCGUAGUCGAUGGGAAACAGGUUAAUAUUCCUGUACUUGGUGUUACUGCGAAGGGGGGACGGAGAAGGCUAUGUUGGCCGGGCGACGGUUGUCCCGGUUUAAGCGUGUAGGCUGGUUUUCCAGGCAAAUCCGGAAAAUCAAGGCUGAGGCGUGAUGACGAGGCACUACGGUGCUGAAGCAACAAAUGCCCUGCUUCCAGGAAAAGCCUCUAAGCAUCAGGUAACAUCAAAUCGUACCCCAAACCGACACAGGUGGUCAGGUAGAGAAUACCAAGGCGCUUGAGAGAACUCGGGUGAAGGAACUAGGCAAAAUGGUGCCGUAACUUCGGGAGAAGGCACGC